UUCUGUAGGUGUCACAUUUUGAGGACUAUAAUAAAGGAGGAUACUGUGGGUGUUGGAGAGGACCCACUGAAAAAUGUGAGUGCACGAAAGGAUCUCACAGAUGAACAUGUGGCCCCUGACACUCCAGCCACCUCUUCUGCACCAGUCUCACCUCCAGCUGAGGC
Molecule: long non-coding RNA, 164 nt
Organism: Oreochromis aureus
Lineage: Eukaryota; Metazoa; Chordata; Actinopteri; Cichliformes; Cichlidae
Exons: 3
Source: RefSeq, a predicted model, not a curated record